This 199-nucleotide long non-coding RNA is filed under the name Gossypium raimondii (Peruvian cotton). RNAcentral's name for it is "long non-coding RNA (GRAI_LNC009741)". Lineage: Eukaryota; Viridiplantae; Streptophyta; Magnoliopsida; Malvales; Malvaceae. The record is from RNAcentral.
UCUUUUUCUUUGGGUUUUUCCUUUUCCUUUUGUUUUUAUUUUUGUUUCUCUUUCCUCUAGCUUUGGAUAUUUAAGAAUAUAUUUUGAUCUUCAUAACUUUAAAGUUCAUUGCUUUAAUUGAAAACACUAGCUUUAGGGGAGUAGUGUCAGAUUUAUCACCAUCGAAUCCAUCUUAAAUUUUAUUUAAAAGCAAUAUAUG